GAUGAACGCUGGCGGCGUGCCUAAUACAUGCAAGUCGAGCGAACAGACGAGGAGCUUGCUCCUCUGACGUUAGCGGCGGACGGGUGAGUAACACGUGGAUAACCUACCUAUAAGACUGGGAUAACUUCGGGAAACCGGAGCUAAUACCGGAUAAUAUAUUGAACCGCAUGGUUCAAUAGUGAAAGACGGUUUUGCUGUCACUUAUAGAUGGAUCCGCGCCGCAUUAGCUAGUUGGUAAGGUAACGGCUUACCAAGGCAACGAUGCGUAGCCGACCUGAGAGGGUGAUCGGCCACACUGGAACUGAGACACGGUCCAGACUCCUGCGGGAGGCAGCAGUAGGGAAUCUUACGCAAUGGGCGAAAGCCUGACGGAGCAACGCCGCGUGAGUGAUGAAGGUCUUCGGAUCGUAAAGCUCUGUUACUAGGGAAGAACCAAUGUGUAAGUAACUGUGCACGUCUUGACGGUACCGAGUCAGAAAGCCACGGCUAACUACGUG
Molecule: ribosomal RNA, 497 nt
Filed under: uncultured bacterium
Lineage: Bacteria
Description: partial 16S ribosomal RNA
Rfam family: Bacterial small subunit ribosomal RNA
Source: RNAcentral